GACGAACGCUGGCGGCGUGCCUAAUACAUGCAAGUAGAACGCACAGUUUAUACCGUAGCUUGCUACACCAUAAACUGUGAGUUGCGAACGGGUGAGUAACGCGUAGGUAACCUGCCUGGUAGCGGGGGAUAACUAUUGGAAACGAUAGCUAAUACCGCAUAAUAUUGAUUAUUGCAUGAUAAUUGAUUGAAAGAUGCUAUUGCAUCACUACCAGAUGGACCUGCGUUGUAUUAGCUAGUAGGUGAGGUAACGGCUCACCUAGGCGACGAUACAUAGCCGACCUGAGAGGGUGAUCGGCCACACUGGGACUGAGACACGGCCCAGACUCCUACGGGAGGCAGCAGUAGGGAAUCUUCGGCAAUGGACGAAAGUCUGACCUAGCAACGCCGCGUGAGUGAAGAAGGUUUUCGGAUCGUAAAGCUCGGUUGUAAGAGAAGAACGGGUGUGAGAGUGGAAAGUUCACACUGUGACGGUAUCUUACCAGAAAGGGACGGCUAACUACGUG
RNAcentral lists this ribosomal RNA (505 nucleotides) under uncultured bacterium. RNAcentral's name for it is "partial 16S ribosomal RNA". It matches the Rfam family "Bacterial small subunit ribosomal RNA", at positions 28 to 507 of the family's 1533-position model. The record is from RNAcentral.